UAGGGAAUAUUGGGCAAUGGAGGCAACUCUGACCCAGCCAUGCCGCGUGCAGGAAGACGGUCCUCUGGAUUGUAAACUGCUUUUGAAUGGGAAGAACAUACGAUUUGCGAAUUGUACUGACGGUACCAUUAGAAUAAGCACCGGCUAACUCCGUGCCUGCAGCCGCGGUAAUACGGAGGGUGCACGCGUUAUCCGGGUUUAUUGGGGUUAAAGGGUGCGUAGGCGGCCUUAUAAGUCGGUGGUUAAAGGUAGCCGCGUAACGGUUUUACAUGCCAUCGAUACUGUAGGGCUUGAGUGAUUUGGAGGGAGCUAGAAUUCCCUGUGUAGCGGUGAAAUGCAUAGAUACGGGGAGGAAUACCGAUUGCGAAGGCAUGAUACUACGAAUUAACUGACGCUGAGGCACGAAAG
Molecule: ribosomal RNA, 408 nt
Filed under: uncultured Leadbetterella sp.
Lineage: Bacteria; Pseudomonadati; Bacteroidota; Cytophagia; Cytophagales; Leadbetterellaceae
Description: bacterial SSU rRNA
Rfam family: Bacterial small subunit ribosomal RNA
Source: RNAcentral